UGGGGAAUUUUGGACAAUGGGGGAAACCCUGAUCCAGCCAUCCCGCGUGUGCGAUGAAGGCCUUCGGGUUGUAAAGCACUUUUGGCAGGAAAGAAACGUCAUGGGUUAAUACCCCGUGAAACUGACGGUACCUGCAGAAUAAGCACCGGCUAACUACGUGCCAGCAGCCGCGGUAAUACGUAGGGUGCAAGCGUUAAUCGGAAUUACUGGGCGUAAAGCGUGCGCAGGCGGUUCGGAAAGAAAGAUGUGAAAUCCCAGAGCUCAACUUUGGAACUGCAUUUUUAACUACCGGGCUAGAGUGUGUCAGAGGGAGGUGGAAUUCCGCGUGUAGCAGUGAAAUGCGUAGAUAUGCGGAGGAACACCGAUGGCGAAGGCAGCCUCCUGGGAUAACACUGACGCUAAUGCACGAAGGCGUGGGGAGCAAACAGG
RNAcentral lists this ribosomal RNA (429 nucleotides) under Acidobacteriota bacterium. Its description in RNAcentral is "Acidobacteria bacterium partial 16S ribosomal RNA". It matches the Rfam family "Bacterial small subunit ribosomal RNA", at positions 355 to 776 of the family's 1533-position model. The record is from RNAcentral. Lineage: Bacteria; Pseudomonadati; Acidobacteriota.